CCUACGGGUGGCAGCAGUGAGGAAUAUUGCACAAUGGGCGAAACCCUGAUGCAGCAACGCCGCGUGAGUGAUGAAGGCUUUCGGGAUGUAAAGCUCUGUCCUCAAGGAAGAUAAUGACGGUACCUGAGUAGGAAGCCCCGGCUAACUACGUGCCAGCAGCCGCGGUAAUAUGUAGGGGGCUAGCGUUAUCCGGAAUUACUGGGGGAAAAGGGUGCGUAGGUGGUUUUUAAAGUCGGAGGUGAAAGGCUACGGCUCAACCGUAGUAAGCCUUUGAAACUGGGGAACUUGAGUGCAGGAGAGGGAAGUGGAAUUCCUAGUGUAGCGGUGAAAUGCGUAGAUAUUAGGAGGAACACCAGUUGCGAAGGCGGCUCUCUGGACUGUAACUGACGCUGAGGCACGAAAGCGUGGGGAGCAAACAGGAUUAGAUACCCCAGUAGUC
Molecule: ribosomal RNA, 439 nt
Filed under: uncultured bacterium
Lineage: Bacteria
Description: partial 16S ribosomal RNA
Rfam family: Bacterial small subunit ribosomal RNA
Source: RNAcentral